CUCUGGCCUGCCCUUGUGUAAAGCAGUAGAAGGGUAAACCUAAAACCAGAGCAAGAAAAGGAGUAUCUAGACGAUCAGAGUCCAAGUCCUUUUACCCUUCUUCCGUUGGAAGUUAAUCUACCUAUGCUCGGUUGUGUCGUCGAGCUUCUUCUCUUUAAGCUCCAAAGGGAGGGUUUCCUCGCUAAAUGCUCUAUUUCUUCAGACCCAUCAAAGUCUUCUUCCAUUUCAUGUCUUCAAUCGACGCCUCUCUUUCCUCUGCUCCUUGUUGUUCAGAGAGGAAGUGGUCUCAAACCCUAACUUUUAUCCAUAUCCUCUUUAUAACUUUUCUUGUCUUUUUUGCUCCUUUCUCUUCGAGGUUUGGUUUUUAUACGCGCAGUGGGUUCUACAGCUCUGGUGUUUACACAACAUGAAUAGCAGCAAGGUGAUUUUGUCUUGGGGUUCAAUUAACAAAAAUUCGCAAAUUUUGUUUUUUUAUUUUUCUAUCACUUUUGUUUAGUAUGUGAAAAGAUGGAUUUUUGGAUGUGUUCAUCCGUCUUAAGCUUGCUUCAAAGAGAAAAUGUUCACAUUCAGGCAUUUAAAUCAGCUCAGUAAUAGGAAAUUGGUGCUAGGGGAAGCAUUAAUAAGGAUUUUUUUAGAAAUGGGUAUUUUUGCAGAUGAUCAAUUUAGCAUUAUUUUUUGUUGCAUAACCAUUUCAUUGUCCAUCAGUACAU
RNAcentral lists this unclassified non-coding RNA (710 nucleotides) under Hevea brasiliensis (rubber tree). Lineage: Eukaryota; Viridiplantae; Streptophyta; Magnoliopsida; Malpighiales; Euphorbiaceae. The record is from RNAcentral.